GCAACCUCAGCCCAGUAGGCUCAUCUUAAGGACAAGAACGGCAAGAAGAAUCUAAGGCGGAGGAGGAAGGUUUGAUCCUGGGGAUUUUGAAAGCAAUGAAACUCUGAGCCUGGCUGCACCAUUCUCGGGCUUGCCUUGAUGGUAACUUCCGGAGGAAACUUUGAAGAGAAGGGCGAUUCUGAGAAAAAUCCCCUGCACCCACUUUUACCACCCGGGUCACAGUUCUCUCAUUGUCCCUAGCAAACUGUCCCCGUGGCCUCUGUCCCGCCUAACACAGCUCAGUUGGGGGGUGGGUGCGAGGGGUGGGGACUAUAGCCUGUGAUGCUCCAGCAGGAGCAGCUGGCCUAGGAGGGAGUCUCUCCCUGCGCCGCUUAGCACCGCCUCACUGCGUGGCUCCGCCCAAUAGCUGCUUAGCACUCUUUCAACGACACCCAGAAAUUCUGACGUACCCUCCCCCUCUCCUCCCGGGGACGAAGGCCUGGCUUGUGACGCCCGCUCCAAAAGGCAUGAGACUGAUGCGGGUUUCCCCGGGUGCCCGGGCCUCUCCAAACUGGGAGAGCUUGCCGGAGGUGCCCACCGAGGGGCGACCCAGGACUGCGCUUGGUCACCCACGAUGCCCACGUACCGGAUCCGCGGCUCGCACCGCCCAGCGUGUAGCCAGCCUGCGGCGCGCUUCCGGGUAGGACACGUGACUCAGCCACAUGACCGGGGCCUGCUUUGUGGGUUCGAGCCCCGCCCCGUCAGGCAUUGCUCACCCUUCAGGCUACUGUGCUUGCUGGUCACCCGCCGCUAGGGAGCCGUGCCACGUUCACCCUGGCAUAAGUAGGUAUCUCACUGCCUUUAGAGGCACCAGCUGAGCCGGUGACAUUUCUAGAGUCUCUUUUGCUUGAUUUAGCUAAAGGGAUUCCCCACAGAUUUACAGAAGGGGCAACUGAGAACCCCGAGGGAACCCCCUUGCUGAAGAAGGAACAAA
RNAcentral lists this long non-coding RNA (973 nucleotides) under Mus musculus (house mouse). RNAcentral's name for it is "predicted gene 16244". The record is from RNAcentral. Lineage: Eukaryota; Metazoa; Chordata; Mammalia; Rodentia; Muridae.